GACGAACGCUGGCGGCGUGCUUAACACAUGCAAGUCGAACGGAAAGGCCCUGCUUGCAGGGUACUCGAGUGGCGAACGGGUGAGUAACACGUGGGUGAUCUGCCCUGCACUUCGGGAUAAGCCUGGGAAACUGUGUCUAAUACCGGAUAGGAGCCAUUUUUAGUGUGAUGGUUGGAAAGUUUUUUCGGUGUAGGAUGAGCUCGCGGCCUAUCAGCUUGUUGGUGGGGUAAUGGCCUACCAAGGCGGCGACGGGUAGCCGGCCUGAGAGGGUGGACGGCCACAUUGGGACUGAGAUACGGCCCAGACUCCUACGGGAGGGAGAAGUGGGGAAGAUUGCAAAAUGGGCGCAAGCCUGAUGCAGCGACGCCGCGGGGGGGAAGACGGCCUUCGGGUUGUAAAAUCCUUUCGCUAGGGAAGAAGCUGUUUGUGACGGUACCUAGAUAAGAAGCACCGGCUAACUACGUG
Molecule: ribosomal RNA, 465 nt
Filed under: uncultured bacterium
Lineage: Bacteria
Description: partial 16S ribosomal RNA
Rfam family: Bacterial small subunit ribosomal RNA
Source: RNAcentral